CUUGGGACAACAUGCAUGACUGCUUAUAGUGUUCCCCUUUCAGCAAAACAAUAAGCUCCAAAAGUUUUAGCAUCCAGCAGUGUAGAGCUAGAGGAAGAGGAGAGAAAGACGAUUCAAAGAGAUGAUAAAAACUGCGCUGGUGUGUUUGGGAAUACGAGGCAAAAGGAAAAUGCACAUUAGAUAUAUGCUUGAGGUGCUAAAGGGUGAGUACCACAUGCUAUCCAUAUUUGCAAUUCAACUCUUUCUCCAUCAGUGAACUGAUAGGCGGAUGUGUUGGAGGAGGAUGUAGAAGUCAGAAUCCGGAAAGUGCCACCUGAGCAUUAGUUGCCUAUGU
This 334-nucleotide long non-coding RNA is filed under the name Setaria viridis. RNAcentral describes it as "long non-coding RNA (SVIR_LNC008670)". The record is from RNAcentral. Lineage: Eukaryota; Viridiplantae; Streptophyta; Magnoliopsida; Poales; Poaceae.